ACCCCGGUUUUAUUGCUCUGUGGGCUGCAAUCGAGCUUAGCCUUGUUCAUUUUUUUAUACAACGCCCCGAUAAAAAUAGAAUACGAGUCCUCCCGAUCCAGGCUCAGCGCUGCUCGAAACAAGGAAUACGCGCCCCAAAUAGCGGCAAAAAAGGCUGUAUGGCGCAGUUUUAGGGCAA
This 178-nucleotide small RNA is filed under the name Pseudomonas cichorii. RNAcentral describes it as "Pseudomonas sRNA P1". It matches the Rfam family "Pseudomonas sRNA P1". From Rfam's summary of the family: There appears to be two related copies of P1 sRNA in the P.aeruginosa PA01 genome and both copies appear to be located upstream of predicted glutamine synthetase genes. This sRNA appears to be conserved amongst several Pseudomonas species. Lineage: Bacteria; Pseudomonadati; Pseudomonadota; Gammaproteobacteria; Pseudomonadales; Pseudomonadaceae. The record is from RNAcentral.